CCAAGAUCCAGAUUCCAACAAGGUCAGCCUCCUGAGAAGGGCAUUUGGUUGCGUUCCAGCACACCUCUUUAAGCCAGUCUCCAGGUGCCAGUUAAAUGGCUAACGUUGGGUCCAAACAUCUGGAACCAGGAAGAAGGAGGCCAUAGUACAGUUCAAGGUCAUUUAAGAGAGUUGCGAAGACUGCCGCUGCGUCCUGCUUGCCGUCUGCUGUACACGGUGGGGUGUCACUCCAGGACGUUGCUUCGGACAUGUAAGAUCCCCUGUCCAACCUAUCACCGAUGUCUCUGUCACUGUCUCUGGGGUCUUUCUUCAGUCUUGCAGCUGGCCAAUUACAAGACUUUCAGGCCUGUGGGGUGCAGCCAAACAGAUGAUCAUGCAUGUAGUUGCUUCAGCAGUGUAGUUCUGUCUCACUGUGGACCAUUCAAGGUUUUGGAUGAUGUUGUAUUUUAGCGAUGUUGCACCGUCUAGAUCUCUUGCGUAUGUGUCAAUAACUUCUUUUUAUUGUUUAAACCUACUUGAGUUGGGUUUUCAGUUAUAAGAGGAUGAUUCCAACUGAAGCACCCUACCAUAGAUGUAUCCAACCAUUCUGCAAUCACCUGUUGACACAUUAUCCUCUCUUUCUCACUCUCUUUCCCACACAAAAGCUGCAACCAUCCCAGGCAAGGGCCAUGGUUUGUUUGAUGAUGACUGUGUGAUCACUCUGUACUCUCACUGUGGCUCCAUUUACUACAGGACCUUAACCAAGAUGAUACAAACUUCCUUUCCUCCGUUGCUGAUAACGCUCAAGAAAAAUGAGAACACCUAGGUUUAAUAAGCAAUGGAAAUACCAUUUUUUAAAUAAAGAAAACCUCUAAAAGCUACACAACUGCCGAUAUGAAUUUUUGCAUAUUUGCAUUGUUCUUUUUGAUGUUCGAAUCAUCCCAUAUUUGACCACAGGGAGCCUCUUCAGGUCGGCUCCUGUGUCCUUUUAAUCUGACCCCAUGGACUUUGAUACCUUCCUUGUUCAUCUGUCCCAGCCCUGGAAAGGCCGUUUCUCAGGAGCCCUGGUUCCCUUUAGCAGAGAAUGAUAUUUAGAGAGUAAGAUCUAGGCAAGAUAGAUACACUUUCUAAACACAGAAAUUACAUGAGUUUUCAAAAGAUCUGUUUUUACCAUAACUAGUGGGCUUUUCGUUAAGUCAGUUAAUGACCUGAAAUCAUUGGAAUUUAGGGUGGUUUUGGAUUAAAGCAUUUUCUCAACCUCAGCACUAUUGACAUUUGGGGCUGGGAAAUGCUUUGUUGUGGAGACUGCCCUGUGCGUUGUAGGGUGUUUAGCAGCAUCCCUCGCCUCUACACACUAGAUGCCAGUAGUACCCUCCCAGCUGUGACAACCAAAAAUGUCUCCAGACAUUGCCGAAUGCCCCUUGGGGUGGCAAAAUCAUCCCCCAUUAAGAACCACUGGAUGGCCUGUGGCUUCUGUGGAAAACAUCCUGGAACAAACCAGAGAGACUCUGGCCCUGUUGCAACAUCCUUAACAGUUUCCUGCCUCUAUUUCCCUGUGUGUCUAUUGGGACAAUGGCUACAGGAUAAAACAACACAUUGUGGGAAGCAGUUUGACCUGCAAAGACUCAUCGGCGUGAAAGUGAGGAGCAGACAUUACAUCACAGGCAGCACCACACUGAAGCCACAUGUCGGUUUUUGCAAACUCUGCUGAGAUAGUACAGCUUCUGAUUGAACUGACUCAAGUCCUGAAGAUUACUCAAACUCUUGUGUUCCCACCAGGCCUCUUUUUAGUGUCAGCCUUAUAUAAGAGCUUUCAUUUUACUGUCACCAAGAGAAAGUCCCAUUCAAUUCAUACCAGAUGCUGAGUCGUCGUGAAUCAAUACAACAUCAUCCAAAAACCACCAAAAUGAAUCAUAAGGACAAACAGGACUUUUUCUCCCAGCAAAACAGUGACUAAAAUAGUGUUUUGCCCUUUCAGAAAAAAAAAAGUUACAAGGUUAAUAAGACAAGGCUUCAGGCCCUGCUGGUGU
This is a non-coding RNA of Delphinapterus leucas (beluga whale), 2009 nucleotides long. The record is from RefSeq and is a predicted model, not a curated record. NCBI's taxonomy places the organism in Eukaryota, Metazoa, Chordata, Mammalia, Artiodactyla, Monodontidae.